AAGUCGUAACAAGGUUUCCGUAGGUGAACCUGCGGAAGGAUCAUUAUCAAUAUAAUAAUCCAAAACGUAUGCUAAGACAGUUCUUUCGGGGACUGUGUUAGCAUAUAAACCAAUCUGUGAAAUGUUUUGUUUUACUUUUUGGAAAAAGGAGGAGUGUAUAUAUAUUUCGGUAUAUAUUGCUUGCUUUUUUCUACUAAGUAAAAAUAUACUUUAUUAACCAAUUGAACCCUUUGUUAAAUCUUUAAUUUCUAUUGUGUGAACUGAAUUGUUUCUUACUUUUCUUGUAACAAAGAAGAGAAGAAAAUAAAUUUUACGAAACAUAAUAAUUUAAAAGAACAACUCUUAGCAACGGAUAUCUUGGUUCUC
This 366-nucleotide unclassified non-coding RNA is filed under the name fungal sp. RNAcentral describes it as "partial internal transcribed spacer region". The stretch from base 1 to 46 matches the Rfam family "Eukaryotic small subunit ribosomal RNA", at positions 1786 to 1831 of the family's 1831-position model. The record is from RNAcentral. Lineage: Eukaryota; Fungi.